AAGGAUCAUUAAAGAAAUUUAAUUGAUUUGUCUGAGCUCGGAGAGAGACAUCUCUGGGGAGGACCAGUGUAGACACUCAGGAGGCUCCUAAAAUAUUUUCUCUGCUGUGAAUGCUAUUUCUCCUGCCUGCGCUUAAGUGCGCGGUUGGUGGGUGUUCUGCAGUGGGGGGAGGGAGCCGACAAAGACCUGGGAGUGUGCGUGGAUCUCUCUAUUCCAAAGGAGGUGUUUUAUCACACGACUCGACACUUUCUAAUUACUACACACAGUGGAGUUUACUUUACUACUAUUCUUUUGUUCGUUGGGGGAACGCUCUCUUUCGGGGGGGAGUUCUCCCAGUGGAUGCAAACACAAACAAAUAUUUUUUUAUUUUAACUAAUUCAGUCAACACAAGAUUUCUUUUAAUAAAAAACAACUUCAAAACUUUCAACAAUGGAUCUCUUGGUUCUCGCAUCGAUGAAGAACGCAGCGAAAUGCGAUACGUAAUGUGAAUUGCAGAAUUCCGUGAAUCAUCGAAUCUUUGAACGCACAUUGCGCCCUCUGGUAUUCCGGGGGG
This 553-nucleotide unclassified non-coding RNA is filed under the name Nakaseomyces glabratus. RNAcentral describes it as "[Candida] glabrata partial contains 18S rRNA, ITS1, 5.8S rRNA, ITS2 and 28S rRNA". The stretch from base 419 to 553 matches the Rfam family "5.8S ribosomal RNA", at positions 1 to 135 of the family's 154-position model. The record is from RNAcentral. Lineage: Eukaryota; Fungi; Ascomycota; Saccharomycetes; Saccharomycetales; Saccharomycetaceae.